Molecule: transfer RNA, 64 nt
Filed under: Ixodes scapularis (black-legged tick)
Lineage: Eukaryota; Metazoa; Arthropoda; Arachnida; Ixodida; Ixodidae
Rfam family: tRNA
About the family: Transfer RNA (tRNA) molecules are approximately 80 nucleotides in length.
Source: Rfam by way of RNAcentral
GGUUAGCUCAGUUGGUAGAGCACUCUACUGGAGAUGGAGAGGUCCCUGGUUUACUACCAGGACC